GGGGAGUAAAGAGCCAGAUGAUGGGGCCGGGCCUAGACUGGCCCUUCCUUGGCCCUGCAGGCACCGUGGGCCUGGGGCAGCCCUGAGGCCUCGCUGGGUCCCCAGCACCAUCUGCUGUGACAGGAGGAAAUCCACGUCCAGCCACCCUCUCUGUGCUAUCCCCUCAGUCACCUCGAUGCUGGAGGCGGAGGGCUCAGAGCCACUGCCCAGCGGCCGUACCACAGCGGACUCUCCUUAGACCGGUGCUGAGCCCGGCGGCCGGGCAAGGUGCAGAGGUGGCUCCAGACCCGCCGGCAGUCCAGCUGGCGCUAUCUCUGGGGCAGAACCCGUGGCCCCAGGCGGUGACAGCCUGUGUGUUUUCAGUGUUCACUCCUCACUCCAGCUCACCUGUUCCUGGCACUCUGGGCUGGGACUUGCUGGGACCCCCCACUUCCACCCAGCCCUUGCUGCUCCCUGAGGGUGGAGAGGAAACCCUGUCCUCAGGCCCUGUGAGCCGGAGAGAGCGCAUCUACGUGGUGACAGGCGGAUGAGGCGGUCUCUCGGGGACUCCAGGAGGGCCUUGAGCCUUGGAACCAAUGAAAACAGGUUCCUGCUCUGCCGUCCAGGCUGGAGUGCAGUAGUGCCAUCACGACUCAUUGCGGCCUUGACCUCCCAGGCUCAAGCGAUUCUCCUGCCUCAGCCUCCCAGGCAGGGGCCACAGGCACCAGCCAGCAUGCCCAGGCAAUCUCAGCAUCCUAAAGCCUGCUAUGCCUGGGAUGGCUGAUUCUCCUGGGGACCGGUGGGCAGGCAGUGGGGAUGCCGUGCUAAGCGAGGUCCUGCUGGUGCCUCUUGGGUUUCCUUUCUAAGCAGCCCACACUCCUGGGCCUGGUCUCGGAGAGCAGCAGUUUCUUGAGGGCAGGAGAAAUGAAAACAGGUUUUAUUUAUGGACAAAUAGUCGCAGCAGUUCCAUUGACAGACGCAGGCCGAUCUGCCGGCUCUUGGAGGCUGGAGCCUCUUGGGAGAUCUGUCUCCUCCGAGUCCUGUGCUUGGGUUUUAACUGGGUUUCUGCAAGGUGAUCCCAGCUGACAAUUUUGGGGAGAGAAUCAGGACAAUGGCAGCCCCACAGAAAGGGUUGAGACCGGUUCGGAAGGGCUGCUCACCCCUCGGGCUGGAAUGGAGCUGCCGGUGACCCGGUGGAGGCUGCGAACCCCAAGGGCAGGAGCCAGGGAGCCCCAUCCUGUGCCUUGGGGAGCACUUGUCUGCCGGGAGAGGAGGCCUGGUGCCUGCUGCCUCUCCCCUUGAAUUGUGGUGUUGUGGAGUAAUUGGUAGCCCCGAAAAGAUACGUCCAUUGGAACCUGUGUGACCUUAUUUGGGAAAAGAGUGUGCAGAUGUAACUGAGGACUGUGCGAUGAGAUCAUCCUGGAUCGGAGUGGGCCCUAAAUCUAAUGACCAGUAUCCUUAGAUGACACAGAGACGCACAGGGGGAAGCCACGUGGAGACAGAAGCAGAGAAAGGAGCGAUUCGGCCACAAGCCAAGGAAUGCCAAGAGCCUCCAGGAGCUGCAGGAGGCAGGAAGGGUCCUUCCCUAGAGCCUCCGCGGAGUGUGGGCCUGGGACCCUGAUUUCAGGCCUCCAGAGCCACGGAGGACACAUUUCUGUGUUUUGAGCCUCUGCAGCCCCAAGAGACCAGUGCCUGCCCAGGAGACCCUCGGGGUUUCUGUGGUUCUUCCUGACAGGCAGAAGCAUGAAAGGUAUUUGGGGUUGGAGCUGUCAAAACACAGAUCUCCACCCCGCUGGUUUUAACUGGAGGCUUUCUGAGCAUCUCUGUGCUGAUCGGACACAAAUGCAGUUAUUUUUAAUACAUUAGAUGGGCUCCUUUUGAAGAAGCUGUCAGGAAAAUCCACUGCAGGAAGUUUGAUGGGUGCCCUGCACCUUGUCUGAGUGCCCUGCAAUUACCCGCUUCUAGUCUGUGGCAGGUUCGCCAGGGUAGGGGCCUUGGGGACCCUCCCUGUUCCAGGCAUGCUUCCUUUGGUUAGAAGCAUGCUUCCAGGUCACUGCACUAGCAUCUGAGUGUUUGUCCCUAACCGUCUGGGCCUCUGGGGUUGCAGGGGCCCCACUGUCCCAGGGCUCUGCUGAGAGCUGCUGCCCUCUGAGCUGGGGUCUGGGUGCAGUUUGGCUCCUCCCAGGACUUGGGAGGUCAUGGCUCGGGUCCCCUGAGAGUUUGGGCCACUUUGGCAAAGCAAACUUCUGAGCGGGGCAGAAUCUUGGACCCUCAACCCUGUGCCAGGCCUGUGGGGACAGUGGGGCCGUUUGGGCAGCCACUCCCCACUGCCUCCUACAAGCUGGUUGAAGCCACUGGGCAGACACAGAGCUGCCAGACCUCUUGCCCAUGGCCCCUCCCAUCUCUGCCUCCUGCCCCAGAGGCUGCUGCCUCCGCCUGACCUGCUGCCACAGGAAGACCACCUGGAGACCACCCAGGGGGUCAGCGUGUUCACCUGAAGCCAGCUUCAAAGCAACCCCAGUGUUUCGCUGGCUCGGCCCUGACUCCCUCAGCCCAUCACAGGUGCAGAGGAAAUAAAGCCCCGUGCUUGGGGGCUCCCUGUACUAAGGACAGGCCAGAGAGAGGAGCUUCAGGCUGCUGUGUCUGAGGAGGUCCCUGGGCUGGAAAGACCUCUGUCCCCACUGGCAGCUUCUGUGUCUUAAGGGUGCAGGGCAGGGCAGUGGUGAUGGGAAAUGCUGGUGAGCCCUGGACCAGGGAUCCUGGAUCUGGUCCUCCACCAUGGGGUCAGCCCAGAUGGAAUGGCUUAUCCCUCAGCUCCAGGCAAUAAAUAGUGACCCCCGACAGCCGCUUCCUACUGUGCACAUCCUGCUGGGCACGCAGCCUGAAGUCGACAGGUGGACAAAUGAGCGUUCCUUGCCCUGGCUCCUGACCAGCACAUUCCGGACGGCUCUAUUCGCAGCUCCGGAGUGACACGGCCCAGACACACUUGCGGUCCCUCCCUGACUCGCAGGAGCCGGGGGCUUCGUGAUUCUGCCAAUCAACUGGGAAGUGACACCCCAGACAGCAGCAUCCCACGGCUGUUGUGAGCAGUUACAAUUGAGUGAUGCCCAAGCAGGAAUGAUUCCCAAACAGCUCCCGUACUCUCUGAAUGCUGAGAGCCUGGAAGUGUGAGUUUUUAAGGAGAGGAACCGUGUUUGAAUUAUAAGAAAACAAGGCUCUUGAAAUAAUUCUCUUAACCUUUAAAUAUGUCAAAGGAGAGUUACUGAAAUUUACAGUAAGUUCACCUUUUCACAGACAACAGGCUAAAAAUGUUUAAGUCCAAAUAAUGUUGCUCUUUUUCAUAAGCUUCAGUGUAAGAUUUACUCAAACACAGUGGCUGUCCUCAGACUCAUGUUUCUUGGAUAACUCUAUUUCUUUGUUCUGUGUUCUUUUGUAACAUUGUUUUAAUAAUUCCUUUGAGCCCAAGCCUUUUAUCAUAAGCUGCCUCAGAUCUUUUUGAAAGUAGGCAGUGUUUAAAAUCUACGGAUGACUUUCGCCAGGGGUACUGGACUAGCUCUCCUGCCAUAAACAACUAUAAAAUUGUA
Molecule: long non-coding RNA, 3563 nt
Filed under: Homo sapiens (human)
Lineage: Eukaryota; Metazoa; Chordata; Mammalia; Primates; Hominidae
Description: HSALNT0402387
Source: RNAcentral